Long non-coding RNA from Dermacentor albipictus, 1943 nucleotides. RefSeq lists it as uncharacterized. NCBI's taxonomy places the organism in Eukaryota, Metazoa, Arthropoda, Arachnida, Ixodida, Ixodidae. The record is from RefSeq and is a predicted model, not a curated record.
UCGUGCGAGCUGCGUCGAUGUGUUUGUUUGAUCGUGUGUUAUUAGGUUUGCUGUAAUGAAAUGAGACGUAGUUCGCGAGCACGAAAGUGCCAGAAGAUGGCUUGAGUCUCGCUGUAAGCACGCCGUAUGCGUGGCGCGCCAGCUAAAUGUGGACCAACGAUUUUCAUGCCAUGGAGUGCGUUCCCUUUGUCUCCGCUUGUGUUCGUGGAAAGUUUGGUGGACGGCGCAAAGAAGUAAUGCGUAUUAUUAGCGCGCCUCAGCUCGUCCACUACCCAGUGGCUUGUUUGCUGCAAGUAACAUCGCAGACGCAUCACUGGAAACUUGGAGAGUUCCUUUCGACCUCGUCGUACUGUUGAAACGUGGCGAGGCCGUGACCCACAACAUAAACUACAAGAUCGAGGAGCCCCAAGAAAUGCAGACCCUGUGGAUAUAUGGCUGCAGCAGCAUGGCGUGUGAUCUGGAUGGUCAUGACAGGUGUGUAUGAAAUGCUCCACCGUCGCCGUUACUAGACGCACCAAAUGAGGCCAAAAACUAGCCUUUCCUCGCUCCAUUCCUGGGAAGUGAAAUAGCAGGUGAUCAUGUAAGAAUGGACUUGCAACCAUGUGGGCAGUAGCCAAAGCUCCCUACAGUUCAUGCUGGUGGUGGAAUGAUAAGACAAACCGCAAUAUUUAUUUGUUUACUUAUUCACUUAAUAUUUAUUUAUUCAUAUCUCAUGAAUACUGUGCAGUUUUUUUAGCAAGGAGUCAGGUAAAAUAAAGAAAUAUUGUUGCAUCAAAGUAAACGUUAUUUGAAAAAGCAUAAUUCAUGUAGCACGAAUUCAUGUAAGCUGUAAAUUCAUAUAUACAGUUUGUUGACUUUAAACAUAGCAGAUGGAGUCUGCAGAACUAUGAUAUCUCUUUCUGGCACAGAGACGGGGAUUAGUAAGCUUCGUGGUGUUAUUUUUCUCAAACCUGCCAAAUAGUUCUUCCUGCAACAGGUAGAAUUCUCAAAUGCCGCAAACUUAAUUCAAAUUAGUGCUGUGGUUGUCUCAAAAGUAUUUCUGUAUUUUGGAUGUAUUUGAGUAGGAAAAUUUACAGAAUUAACGAACUUGUGCUAGCUCUUUUCUUUAUUUACAGUUGCAAACUAAGUCCUUUUCCUUCAAGUUUUGCUAUUUUCAGCAAAUUUUAAUAAAAAUUGAUGGUGUUAAUGUAAAAACUAUAAUUUAAACAUUUUUAAAUGUAUCAAACCUCAUCAAAUUUGGUUGCAUAGUUGCCGAGAAAAACGAUUUUACUGUUCAUGUGCAUUACAUAGGAGCUCCUGAGCUAAAUCUCUUUUUUAGUCAUUGCGUGUGUCGGUCUGGUUUGUAUUUCUCACCCUAAUUAGAAUAUUGGCUCUGAUCUCAAAAUUGUUUCCCUUACAACGAAAUACAAGCUUUUAAACUUUUUACGAUAUAUGCUGUACUGCUCUAUGAUAACCCCUGUUUGCCACAUUUUCGCAGGGCCCAGCAGUGCUAAUUUUACACAUAAACAUAGACUAAAAUGCUGUGUGGUUUCGGUAUAUGGUGUACUUAUCUGUGAAAGCCAUUAUUUGCCACAUUUUUGCAGCGACUGCCAGUGUUAUUUUUGCUCAGACUAAAAUGCUGUGUCGUUUCGUCAGGCUGACACAACAUUGCAGUGCACAUUUAUGUCAGUCUAUUUUCAGGCUUUAGUAUCCAAACAUUUAAUGUGCACUGCUGGAACAGGCACUCCUUUUGCAGUUUUAAUUGUAUAGUUUCUUGUCCUAGUCAAGCCUGUUAUUGCGAGGUGUCAACUGUAAUCAAGUCUGCCACUGAUUCUUUUACCUCAUGUUUCGUGUGUUUGCACCACCAGCUUGACCUGAGAAGCAUGUUGGCAGCUACAGUUUGUGCGUUGCAAGUUCUAGUCUGAACUGUGUAUGUCACAUAUAUGAAGCAUGUAUCUAGUCUG